RNAcentral lists this ribosomal RNA (441 nucleotides) under uncultured bacterium. RNAcentral describes it as "partial 16S ribosomal RNA". It matches the Rfam family "Bacterial small subunit ribosomal RNA", at positions 338 to 795 of the family's 1533-position model. The record is from RNAcentral.
CCUACGGGAGGCAGCAGUGGGGAAUAUUGCACAAUGGGGGAAAGCCUGAUGCAGCGACGCCGCGUGAGGGAAGAAGGAUCUCGGUAUGUUAAGCUCUAUCAGCAGGGAAGAAGAAAGACGGUACCUGACUAAGAAGCCCCUGCGAACUACGUUCCAGUAGCCGCGGUCAUACGUAGGGGGCAAGCGUUAUCCGGAUUUACUGGGUUUAAAGGGAGCGUAGGCGGCUGGGCAAGUCUGAGGUGAAAGCCCAGGGCUCAACCCUGGAACUGCUUUGGAAACUGUGGAGCUAGAGUGCUGGAGAGGUAAGUGGAAUUCAUGGUGUAGCGGUGAAAUGCGUAGAUAUUAGGCGGAACACCGAUUGCGAAGGCGGCUUACUGGACAGCAACUGACGUUGAGGCACGAAAGCGUGGGGAGCAAACAGGAUUAGAUACCCCGGUAGUC